GGACUGAGACACGGCCCAGACUCCUACGGGAGGCAGCAGUGGGGAAUUUUGGACAAUGGGCGCAAGCCUGAUCCAGCAAUGCCGCGUGUGUGAAGAAGGCCUUCGGGUUGUAAAGCACUUUUGUCCGGAAAGAAAACCUNNGCCCUAAUACGGUGGGGGGAUGACGGUACCGGANGAAUAAGCACCGGCUAACUACGUGCCAGCAGCCGCGGUAAUACGUAGGGUGCAAGCGUUAAUCGGAAUUACUGGGCGUAAAGCGUGCGCAGGCGGUCCGCUAAGACAGAUGUGAAAUCCCCGGGCUUAACCUGGGAACUGCAUUUGUGACUGGCGGGCUAGAGUAUGGCAGAGGGGGGUAGAAUUCCACGUGUAGCAGUGAAAUGCGUAGAGAUGUGGAGGAAUACCGAUGGCGAAGGCAGCCCCCUGGGCCAAUACUGACGCUCAUGCACGAAAGCGUGGGGAGCAAACAGGAUUAGAUACCCUGGUAGUCCACGCCCUAAACGAUGUCAACUAGUUGUCGGGUCUUCAUUGACUUGGUAACGUAGCUAACGCGUGAAGUUGACCGCCUGGGGAGUACGGUCGCAAGAUUAAAACUCAAAGGAAUUGACGGGGACCCGCACAAGCGGUGGAUGAUGUGAUUAAUUCGAUGCAACGCGAAAAACCUUACCUACCCUUGACAUGUAUGGAAUCCUGCUGAGAGGUGGGAGUGCCCGAAAGGGAGCCAUAACACAGGUGCUGCANGGCUGUCGUCAGCUCGUGUCGUGAGAUGUUGGGUUAAGUCCCGCAACGAGCGCAACCCUUGUCCCUAGUUGCUACGCAAGAGCACUCUAGGGAGACUGCCGGUGACAAACCGGAGGAAGGUGGGGANGACGUCAAGUCCUCAUGGCCCUUAUGGGUAGGGCUUCACACGUCAUACAAUGGUCGGAACAGAGGGUCGCCAACCCG
Molecule: ribosomal RNA, 942 nt
Filed under: Burkholderia sp. Ind_2d_pre
Lineage: Bacteria; Pseudomonadati; Pseudomonadota; Betaproteobacteria; Burkholderiales; Burkholderiaceae
Also listed under: 1 other name
Description: bacterial SSU rRNA
Rfam family: Bacterial small subunit ribosomal RNA
Source: RNAcentral